CCGUUGAGGGCGCCGCAGGAACGCACCCCGGCCGGCGGCUCACCUUCCACACCAGCCAGGCGGCUCGGCUGCCUGGGGCCCCGCACGGGUUCCCUGCGAUCCACACGUCCUGAGGGGCUGGAAGGGAGACUCCUGGAGUACCAGCUGGGAAUAUGGCUGUCAAGAAUAAAGACUACAUUUCCCAGGCUCCUUUGCAGUCCGAUGAGGCCAUGUGACUAUGUUCUCAGCCAACCACGUAUCACCAAAAAUAAAAUUGGCAACUUCCUGGUUGAGUAUUAAAGUGUA
This is a long non-coding RNA of Cavia porcellus (domestic guinea pig), 285 nucleotides long. RefSeq lists it as uncharacterized. The record is from RefSeq and is a predicted model, not a curated record. NCBI's taxonomy places the organism in Eukaryota, Metazoa, Chordata, Mammalia, Rodentia, Caviidae. The transcript has 2 exons.